RNAcentral lists this transfer RNA (64 nucleotides) under Epeorus alexandri. Its description in RNAcentral is "tRNA-Asn". The record is from RNAcentral. Lineage: Eukaryota; Metazoa; Arthropoda; Insecta; Ephemeroptera; Heptageniidae.
UUAAGUGAAGCCAAAGAGAGGCCUAUCACUGUUAAUGAUAAAAUUGGGGCCGCCCCCACUUAAG